GCUUACGACCAUACCACUCUGAAAGCCUGAUCUCAUCUGACCUCGGAAGCAAGCAGAGUUGGCCUGGUUAGUACUUGGUUGGGAGACUGAAUGGGAAUACUAGGUGCUGUAAGCG
Ictalurus punctatus (channel catfish) is the source of this 115-nucleotide ribosomal RNA. Lineage: Eukaryota; Metazoa; Chordata; Actinopteri; Siluriformes; Ictaluridae. The record is from Ensembl.